This 497-nucleotide ribosomal RNA is filed under the name uncultured bacterium. RNAcentral describes it as "partial 16S ribosomal RNA". It matches the Rfam family "Bacterial small subunit ribosomal RNA", at positions 28 to 507 of the family's 1533-position model. The record is from RNAcentral.
GAUGAACGCUGGCGGCGUGCCUAAUACAUGCAAGUCGAGCGAACAGACGAGGAGCUUGCUCCUCUGACGUUAGCGGCGGACGGGUGAGUAACACGUGGAUAACCUACCUAUAAGACUGGGAUAACUUCGGGAAACCGGAGCUAAUACCGGAUAAUAUAUUGAACCGCAUGGUUCAAUAGUGAAAGACGGUUUUGCUGUCACUUAUAGAUGGAUCCGCGCCGCAUUAGCUAGUUGGUAAGGUAACGGCUUACCAAGGCGACGAUGCGUAGCCGACCUGAGAGGGUGAUCGGCCACACUGGAACUGAGACACGGUCCAGACUCCUACGGGAGGCAGCAGUAGGGAAUCUUCCGCAAUGGGCGAAAGCCUGACGGAGCAACGCCGCGUGAGUGAUGAAGGUCUUCGGAUCGUAAAACUCUGUUAUUAGGGAAGAACAAAUGUGGAAGUAACUCUGCACGUCUUGACGGUACCUAAUCAGAAAGCCACGGCUAACUACGUG